RNAcentral lists this ribosomal RNA (426 nucleotides) under uncultured bacterium. Its description in RNAcentral is "bacterial SSU rRNA". It matches the Rfam family "Bacterial small subunit ribosomal RNA", at positions 355 to 772 of the family's 1533-position model. The record is from RNAcentral.
UGGGGAAUUGUUCGCAAUGGGCGCAAGCCUGACGACGCAACGCCGCGUGGAGGAUGAAGAAUUUCGGUUCGUAAACUCCUGUCGAGCGGGACGAAAGAUUCGCCGGUUAAUACCCGGUGGAAGUGACGGUACCGCUAAAGGAAGCCCCGGCUAACUCCGUGCCAGCAGCCGCGGUAAUACGGGGGGGGCAAGCGUUGUUCGGAAUUACUGGGCGUAAAGGGCGCGUAGGCGGCCUUCUAAGUCAGACGUGAAAUCCCCCGGCUUAACCUGGGAACUGCGUCUGAUACUGGGAGGCUUGAGUAUGGGAGAGGGAUGUAGAAUUCCAGGUGUAGCGGUGAAAUGCGUAGAUAUCUGGAGGAAUACCGGUGGCGAAGGCGGCAUCCUGGACCAUAACUGACGCUGAGGCGCGAAAGCUAGGGGAGCAAA